AGGAAAUAGAUACCCGGGUAGUCCACGCCCUAAACGAUGUCGACUGGUUGUUGGUGGGGUUAAACCCAUUAGUAACGAAAGCUAAACGCGUGAAAGUCGACCGCCUGGGGAGUACGGCCGCAAGGUUAAAACUCAAAGGAAUUGACGGGGACCCGCACAAGCGGUGGAUGAUGUGGAUUAAUUCGAUGCAAACGCGAAGAACCUUACCUACCCUUGACAUGCCAGGAACCCUGCUGAGAGGUGGGGGUGCCCGAAAGGGAACCUGGACACAGGUGCUGCAUGGCUGUCGUCAGCUCGUGUCGUGAGAUGUUGGGUUAAGUCCCGC
RNAcentral lists this ribosomal RNA (325 nucleotides) under uncultured bacterium. Its description in RNAcentral is "bacterial SSU rRNA". It matches the Rfam family "Bacterial small subunit ribosomal RNA", at positions 774 to 1090 of the family's 1533-position model. The record is from RNAcentral.